UGGGGAAUUUUCCGCAAUGGGCGAAAGCCUGACGGAGCAACGCCGCGUGAGGGAGGAAUGUCUUUGGAUUGUAAACCUCUUUUCUCAAGGAAGAUAAUGACGGUACUUGAGGAAUCAGCAUCGGCUAACUCCGUGCCAGCAGCCGCGGUAAUACGGGGGAUGCAAGCGUUAUCCGGAAUUAUUGGGCGUAAAGCGUCCGUAGGCGGCCAUUCAAGUCUGCUGUUAAAGCGUGCAGCUUAACUGCAUUCCGGCAGUGGAUACUGAAUGGCUUGAGUUUGGUAGGGGUAGAGGGAAUUCCCGGUGUAGCGGUGAAAUGCGUAGAUAUCGGGAAGAACACCAGUGGCGAAGGCGCUCUCCUGGGCCAUAACAGACGCUGAUGGACGAAAGCUAGGGGAGCGAAAGGGAUUAGAUACCCCCGUAGUCC
This 424-nucleotide ribosomal RNA is filed under the name uncultured prokaryote. Its description in RNAcentral is "bacterial SSU rRNA". It matches the Rfam family "Bacterial small subunit ribosomal RNA", at positions 355 to 796 of the family's 1533-position model. The record is from RNAcentral.